Molecule: ribosomal RNA, 868 nt
Filed under: Escherichia coli
Lineage: Bacteria; Pseudomonadati; Pseudomonadota; Gammaproteobacteria; Enterobacterales; Enterobacteriaceae
Description: partial 23S ribosomal RNA
Rfam family: Bacterial large subunit ribosomal RNA
Source: RNAcentral
GCCCCGGUAAACGGCGGCCGUAACUAUAACGGUCCUAAGGUAGCGAAAUUCCUUGUCGGGUAAGUUCCGACCUGCACGAAUGGCGUAAUGAUGGCCAGGCUGUCUCCACCCGAGACUCAGUGAAAUUGAACUCGCUGUGAAGAUGCAGUGUACCCGCGGCAAGACGGAAAGACCCCGUGAACCUUUACUAUAGCUUGACACUGAACAUUGAGCCUUGAUGUGUAGGAUAGGUGGGAGGCUUUGAAGUGUGGACGCCAGUCUGCAUGGAGCCGACCUUGAAAUACCACCCUUUAAUGUUUGAUGUUCUAACGUUGGCCCGUAAUCCGGGUUGCGGACAGUGUCUGGUGGGUAGUUUGACUGGGGCGGUCUCCUCCUAAAGAGUAACGGAGGAGCACGAAGGUUGGCUAAUCCUGGUCGGACAUCAGGAGGUUAGUGCAAUGGCAUAAGCCAGCUUGACUGCGAGCGUGACGGCGCGAGCAGGUGCGAAAGCAGGUCAUAGUGAUCCGGUGGUUCUGAAUGGAAGGGCCAUCGCUCAACGGAUAAAAGGUACUCCGGGGAUAACAGGCUGAUACCGCCCAAGAGUUCAUAUCGACGGCGGUGUUUGGCACCUCGAUGUCGGCUCAUCACAUCCUGGGGCUGAAGUAGGUCCCAAGGGUAUGGCUGUUCGCCAUUUAAAGUGGUACGCGAGCUGGGUUUAGAACGUCGUGAGACAGUUCGGUCCCUAUCUGCCGUGGGCGCUGGAGAACUGAGGGGGGCUGCUCCUAGUACGAGAGGACCGGAGUGGACGCAUCACUGGUGUUCGGGUUGUCAUGCCAAUGGCACUGCCCGGUAGCUAAAUGCGGAAGAGAUAAGUGCUGAAAGCAUCUAA